ACAACACACGUGACACACGUGACUAAACCUGAUUGGUUGUUGUCAUAGUAACACGUCACGGUGCUAUUUGAAACUUGUUCAGUUUAGUUCAGUUGUUCACGGUGCAUGCGGUUGCUUGCAUUAAACGUAUAAACUGUUAAAUUAGAUGGCGACUCUGCAUUAAACGUAUUUAUUUAAUUAAUCGGCGAUCGUAUUUCACCAGAGGACUAAGAUAAAACAACUCGAUUUAAAAUAUGAGCAGUUUUAGUGGAUCUGACGUUGAGGGAAAAAGUAUUUCGCUUUUUGUUUGGAGAUGAACGAGACAACACGAGGCACAGCGACAUAAAUAUGACCAACCAGAUCCCAAGUAGACAGGAACAAAUGAAGAUAUAGCGCAUAGAAAGACUUAUUCUUGGUGAUCAACUGCUAUUGACAUUUUUGAAUCGGGGCAAAUGUGGAGUGAAGAAAAACGUUUGCAACACAUCCAUUCCAGAGUGCUCUGACAGAUAAAACUGACACGCUUGAUGAGGACACAGUCAAGCUUUAAAAGCCCGUGUGAUAAAGCAGUCUUCAAUUACUACGGUGUCUGAAUUGCAAGAAGAAGUCACCCUCCACUUAAACAUGUGACAUCUAAACUGUUUUGUGUUUUAGUUCAGCUUUUUAUAGGUUUAUCUUAAGUUGGUU
Paramisgurnus dabryanus is the source of this 663-nucleotide long non-coding RNA. RefSeq lists it as uncharacterized. The record is from RefSeq and is a predicted model, not a curated record. Lineage: Eukaryota; Metazoa; Chordata; Actinopteri; Cypriniformes; Cobitidae.